Molecule: ribosomal RNA, 472 nt
Filed under: Globigerinoides elongatus
Lineage: Eukaryota; Foraminifera; Rotaliida; Globigerinidae
Description: SSU rRNA
Rfam family: Eukaryotic small subunit ribosomal RNA
Source: RNAcentral
AUUUGACUCAACACGGGAAAUCUUACCGGGUCCGGACAUACCGAGGAUUGACAGACUGUUAACUGCAACACAUGCUGCUAAGUUUUAAACUUAAUAGCUCUUUCAUGAUUAUAUGAUAGGUGGUGCAUGGCCGUUCUUAGUUCGUGGAGUGAUCUGUCUGCUUAAUUGCGUUUCAAAAUCUAAACCUGAGCGACAAGGUGCUGCUAUCGAAACUGUCUUUGAGUGUGAACUAUAAGUCUUUUGACUUAUGACCAUCACUCUAGACGUUUAUGUUUUGGUGUUGGCCCUUGAUGCUCAUUUGAACGCAACGGACGUGAUUGCAACCCCUUGUUGAGAUUUAUCCGAUCUCUACGUUCACUGAACCACACUCUUUAGCGAGAGCAGUGGGGAUGUGGAUAAACUCGGGGGACUGCUGACUAUAAACUUUUCUCAAACCAGAGGAAGGUUGCGGCAAUAACAGGUCUGUGAUGCA